RNAcentral lists this ribosomal RNA (444 nucleotides) under soil bacterium 1V-04. RNAcentral describes it as "bacterial SSU rRNA". It matches the Rfam family "Bacterial small subunit ribosomal RNA", at positions 24 to 481 of the family's 1533-position model. The record is from RNAcentral.
UCAGGAUGAACGCUGGCGGCGUGCUUAACACAUGCAAGUCGAACGGUGAAGGGGAGCUUGCUCUCUGGAUCAGUGGCGAACGGGUGAGUAACACGUGAGCAAUCUGCCCCUGACUCUGGGAUAACAGUUGGAAACAGCUGCUAAUACUGGAUACGAGACGUGAAGGCAUCUUCAACGUCUGGAAAGAAUUUCGGUCAGGGAUGAGCUCGCGGCCUAUCAGCUUGUUGGUGAGGUAACGGCUCACCAAGGCGUCGACGGGUAGCCGGCCUGAGAGGGUGACCGGCCACACUGGGACUGAGACACGGCCCAGACUCCUACGGGAGGCAGCAGUGGGGAAUAUUGCACAAUGGGCGAAAGCCUGAUGCAGCAACGCCGCGUGAGGGACGACGGCCUUCGGGUUGUAAACCUCUUUUAGCAGGGAAGAAGCGAAAGUGACGGUACCUG